Molecule: ribosomal RNA, 492 nt
Filed under: uncultured bacterium
Lineage: Bacteria
Description: partial 16S ribosomal RNA
Rfam family: Bacterial small subunit ribosomal RNA
Source: RNAcentral
AGUGAACGCUGGCGGUAGGCCUAACACAUGCAAGUCGAACGGCAGCACAGUAAGAGCUUGCUCUUACGGGUGGCGAGUGGCGGACGGGUGAGGAAUACAUCGGAAUCUACUUUUUCGUGGGGGAUAACGUAGGGAAACUUACGCUAAUACCGCAUACGACCUACGGGUGAAAGCAGGGGUUCUUCGGACCUUGCGCGAUUGAAUGAGCCGAUGUCGGAUUAGCUAGUUGGCGGGGUAAAGGCCCACCAAGGCGACGAUCCGUAGCUGGUCUGAGAGGAUGAUCAGCCACACUGGAACUGAGACACGGUCCAGACUCCUACGGGAGGCAGCAGUGGGGAAUAUUGGACAAUGGGCGCAAGCCUGAUCCAGCCAUGCCGCGUGGGUGAAGAAGGCCUUCGGGUUGUAAAGCUCUUUUGUUGGGGAAGAAAAACAGCAGGUUAAACCCCCGCUGUUCUGACGGUACCCAAAGAAUAAGCACCGGCUAACUUCGUG